GGAGAGGUGUCCGAGUUGGCCGAAGGAGCGCGACUGGAAAUCGCGUAGGCGGUUUAACGCCGUCUCGUGGGUUCGAAUCCCACCCUCUCCG
This 91-nucleotide transfer RNA is filed under the name Rubrobacteraceae bacterium. RNAcentral describes it as "tRNA-Ser". It matches the Rfam family "tRNA". Rfam says of the family: Transfer RNA (tRNA) molecules are approximately 80 nucleotides in length. Their secondary structure includes four short double-helical elements and three loops (D, anti-codon, and T loops). Further hydrogen bonds mediate the characteristic L-shaped molecular structure. tRNAs have two regions of fundamental functional importance: the anti-codon, which is responsible for specific mRNA codon recognition, and the 3' end, to which the tRNAs corresponding amino acid is attached (by aminoacyl-tRNA synthetases). tRNAs cope with the degeneracy of the genetic code in two manners: having more than one tRNA (with a specific anti-codon) for a particular amino acid; and 'wobble' base-pairing, i.e. permitting non-standard base-pairing at the 3rd anti-codon position. RNAcentral also lists the same sequence under 2 other names. Lineage: Bacteria; Bacillati; Actinomycetota; Rubrobacteria; Rubrobacterales; Rubrobacteraceae. The record is from RNAcentral.